Non-coding RNA from Aegilops tauschii subsp. strangulata, 1467 nucleotides. The record is from RefSeq and is a predicted model, not a curated record. NCBI's taxonomy places the organism in Eukaryota, Viridiplantae, Streptophyta, Magnoliopsida, Poales, Poaceae.
GCACCUCGCUGCUGCUAUGCCACCAACCUCCCACUCCACUCACGCCACCCACCCCGAGCCAGAUCUAGAUCGAGACCCCCUCCACCGGCGGCCCCCCGUCCCGUCCCCCACCGGCGGCCUCCUGUCUCCCCUUCCUCAACCUCCUCUCCUCUCUCCUCAACCUCCUCUCCUCUCCUGGGCUCCGCCCACACGGGAAACUGCUGCUCGGCGUCUCCAGCAAUCAAGCAGCAGCCAAGGCCGGGCUCCCAGCCUCCGCGCGGCGUCGUCUCUCCCUUCCCCGCCGUCAUAUGUCACCGUCGUCGUCGCGAUCCGGCCCUCCGCGCCACAGCGGUAGAAGAUAGCGACAGAGUGGGAAGGUUUGUGCAAAGAUCUUCUCCGUCGCCGUCCGCGACAAAGCUGCUGGGUGCAUCCGUCCAUCAUCUUCAGAUCUGAGUGAAGAGGGCAUCCGUCCAUCUCAAAAGCUUUUGUUCUUAGCAGACAAAUCUGGGAGAAUGUACUAGCUGCAUAUAUUGGUUCUUGGGUUUAUUAUUAGAGCUUUUUAUCUGCAUAUAUACAUAGGAGUGAGAAUGCCCAGGUAUGCGACCCUAAAUUUAGUUUCACUGCUUUCUUACUCAUGGGAUUUAUCGAAUUAAUAACUAUAAUGGAUUAAUGAGAAAAAGACAAGGGAAAUUAGCUUUAUAAAAGUGAAACUAUUCAUGGUAAACAUUUGGCAGAAGAGAAUCACAAAAUGAACAACAGCCUCCCUCACGGGAAACAUCAGGUGUGGUAAAAUGUUCACUUAAAAAACUAGAGAUUACUUCCUGGUUUCCUUAUGCCUCGUUGCUACUGGUGCUGUCUGUUUAGGUAACCCUCUGCCUCAUGGUGUUCAGCUGGUUGCCACCAAUCUGCUAAGUAUACAUAAAGUGAAUUUGAGUUAUAUAAAUAUGCCAACUGUCUACAAGACACCACUAACAUAGAACAAAAUGAUGUAGUCUAGAGUUCAGCAUGACUUUGUUUUUUCUGCUCUUUUUGGUAAGCAUACCAAAGCAAAACCAACCUCAAGCCUUUGAAAGUUUGAACCAUUGAUCUGCUCUGUACUUCCUAUCCAUUUUCACAUCAAUUAGGUGCGUCGACAUCGACACGGGCUGGGGCGGCGGCGGCGAUGACAUCUGACAUCGACACGGGGCUGCUGCUGUGACGACGGCGGCAUUGUCCGGCGCCGACCACGACGACGACGACAUCGUCACGGUGCUGCGGCAGCGACGCCGACGACAUCAACACGAGCUUGUGGAGGCGCCGACGCUGACGACCUAUACGUGUGGCGUAUAUUGUAUAUAUAUGUGUAUUAAUUAUCUAUAUCAAAUAUGUAUGAUUGACGGUAUGCAGAACAUGUACUAUUAUGAAAGGCGACUGUUAGGCGCCGGCGCACCGGCCGAAAAUUUCGGCCGGUCAGCCCCCAGCACACCUCGAACCGUUAAUUUCCCCUAA